UUUGAUCAUGGCUCAGUAUUGAACGCUGGCGGCAGGCUUAACACAUGCAAGUCGAGCGGAAACGAAGGUAGCUUGCUACCAGGCGUCGAGCGGCGGACGGGUGAGUAAUGCUUAGGAAUCUACCGAGUAGUGAGGGAUAGCCAUUGGAAACGAUGAUUAAUACCGCAUAUAUCCUACGGGGGAAAGCAGGGGACCUUCGGGCCUUGCGCUAUUCGAUGAGCCUGAGUGAGAUUAGCUAGUUGGUGGGGUAAAGGCCUACCAAGGCGACGAUCUCUAGCUGGUCUGAGAGGAUGAUCAGCCACACUGGGACUGAGACACGGCCCAGACUCCUACGGGAGGCAGCAGUGGGGAAUAUUGCACAAUGGACGAAAGUCUGAUGCAGCCAUGCCGCGUGUGUGAAGAAGGCCUUCGGGUUGUAAAGCACUUUCAGCGAGGAGGAAAGGUCAGUAAGUAAUAUUUGCUGGCUGUGACGUUACUCGCAGAAGAAGCACCGGCUAAUUUAGUGCCAGCAGCCGCGGUAAUACUAAAGGUGCAAGCGUUAAUCGGAAUUACUGGGCGUAAAGCGCGCGUAGGUGGUUUGUUAAGUUGGAUGUGAAAGCCCAGGGCUCAACCUUGGAACUGCAUUCAAAACUGACUCACUAGAGUACGAGAGAGGUUAGUGGAAUUUCCUGUGUAGCGGUGAAAUGCGUAGAGAUGGGAAGGAACACCAGUGGCGAAGCGACUGACUGGCUCGAUACUGACACUGAGUGCGAAGCGUGGGA
This 761-nucleotide ribosomal RNA is filed under the name uncultured bacterium. Its description in RNAcentral is "bacterial SSU rRNA". It matches the Rfam family "Bacterial small subunit ribosomal RNA", at positions 12 to 766 of the family's 1533-position model. The record is from RNAcentral.